CCCUUAUAUUGGUUUAAGUUCUUCUGCUAGGAGAUUUAGUUUUGUUAUAGAGAACUUUUAGUACUAGAAAAAAUUUCUUUUUAAUGAUAUUGGCUGUAACAGACUUAAAUGGAGCGACAAGGAAGAUAGUUAUUCAUAUAGCAAUCUCUAUUUGCUUGGGAUUAAGAAGUAGCUGCUAUUGUUGUAUUUAAGUUCUUACUACAAUAUAUUGGGAUUUUGUAGAAUAGAUUCCAAAAAAGGAGCUUAAUUUGGGAGUUUCUUGUUGCUUGUCUGUGGUUAUUAUUGGGAUUUUGUAUACUAAAUUCCAAAAAGAGCUUAAUUUGUGUGUUUCUUUGUUUUCCCACAAAAUUUCAGCUGAAAAAAAAAAGGAUAGCUUAAUCCGGGCGUCUGUUUUUGUCAGGAUUUCAGCAGGGAAAAGGGAAGCUUUCUAAUGGAGGAAGAAAAAGAGUUGAAGAAAGAGAAGAAAAACAUCCCUGUAUUGCCAUGGAUGAGAAAUCCAAUUGACAUUACUACCUUUGAUCAAUGCUCUCUCGAUCUUUUGCCUUUUAUUGAUCCCAGGUUAGUGGUGGCUUUGAAGAAUAUGAGCAUCACUUCACUCUUUCCCGUGCAACUUGCUGUCUGGCAAGAGACAAUUGGACCUGGCUCUUCUGAAAGAGACCUUUGUAUAAAUUCACCUACAGGGAGUGGAAAAACUCUUGCAUAUGCAUUACCAAUUGUUCAGAUGCUGUCUACACGUUCCGUUAAAUGUCUUCGUGCACUAGUGGUCUUGCCUACUAGAGACCUCGCUUUGCAGGUCAAAGAGGUCUUCUCUGCUCUUGCACCUGCAGUAGGUUUGUCUGUCGGCUUGGCAGUCGGUCAGUCAUCAAUUUCGGAUGAAAUUUCUGAGCUCAUCAGGAAACCCAAUGUUGAGUAUGGCAUAUGUUACGAUCCUGAAGAAUCCUCAUACGAGUUACAAAGCGCAGUAGACAUUUUAGUGGCAACUCCUGGAAGACUGAUGGACCACAUCAGUAACACUGAUGGUUUUACCCUUGAACAUCUAUGUUAUCUUGUUGUUGACGAAACAGAUAGGUUAUUAAGGGAAGCUUAUCAGUCCUGGCUUCCUACCGUCAUUCACUUGACCAGCUCUUCUAUUGAUGGGAACUUCCCUUCUGUUGAUGAUCUUCUUCCUUGCACUUAUGGUUCAUUGAAGACAAUCAGAAGAGUGGGCAUAGAAAGAGGGUUCAAGGGAAAAGCUUAUCCAAGGCUUGCGAAGAUGGUUUUAUCAGCCACACUAACACAGGACCCAAGUAAACUUGCUCAGCUUGAUUUACAUCAUCCCCUUCUUUUGACGACUGGAGAAAGACGUUACAAGCUUCCCGAAGAACUCAAAUCAUUUAAACUGCUAUGUCAAUCGAAGCUUAAGCCAAUUUAUCUAGUUUCUCUUCUUCAAAGUCUGCAAGGGGAGAAAUCAAUUGUUUUCACAUCAUCUGUGGAGUCCACUCAUAGAUUAUGCACCUUGCUUAAGUUUUUCGACAAUAUGCAAAUUGAGUUCAAGGAGUAUUCUCGUCUUCAACGUCAAUCUGUAAGAAGCAAGACGUUAAGGGCUUUCCGGUCAGGACAAGUGCAAGUGCUUAUUUCCUCUGAUGCCAUGACUCGUGGAAUGGAUGUUGAAGGAGUGAGAAAUGUCAUAAACUAUGAUAUGCCUGCAUAUAUAAAAACAUUUAUUCAUCGGGCAGGUCGAACUGCAAGAGCAGGCCAAAGUGGAUGUUGCUUUACGUUAAUGCAUAAAGAUGAGAUUAAGCGUUUCAAGAAGAUGUUACAAAAAGCUGACUGUAACUCUUGCCCUACCUAUUCUGUUUCUUCUGAAGUGAUAGAGUCACUCCGCUCUGUGUACACCUCAGCUUUGGAGAAACUUAGAGAGAAUGUUGAAUCAGAAAAGUUUAAGAAAAGCAAGAUUAGAUUGAAGUCGUCAAAUGUGAGAAAGGAGAAGUGAAAAGCUGCCCACUGCAAUAACUUCCAUUUUCCUAGACAGUGUAGUGCUCAGUUGCCAACCAGUUUAUGACUAUUACAUGGUUCAACUUGAGCUGCUCUGGAUUUAGUAUUGCCAUUUAGUUAAGGUGUAAGCUGGUAAUUUAUGAAGCUACCAGAUUCCAUUAGAUCCAUUUUGGUUCUAUGGGAGAGGAAGUGUCUCAAAGAAAAACUAGGAGGAGGGAGAAGACGCGAGGGUCGGGUAUAUUGAAGUUGGAGGGUCAACUGAUUCGCACAUUAGAAUUAAGUCUCUUGUUGUUUGGGAGGAAAGCACUUAAUUAGAACAAAAGAAAGAAGAGCUGCAUGGCAACUAGUUUAUCAUAUAUUGUAGGAAAGAGGAGCAAUAGGUUCUUUUGAUGUAAAGCUGUUCAAUUGUUCAUAUUAAAUAUGAAUUUUUCGACAUUCUUGUGUUCUGGUCUAAAUAGGUGUAGCUGAGUCAACUGAGCUAUAGCAUUUAUUUUAAGUUUGUAUAGUACUUCCUUAGUGCUUGUUUGUGGAAUAAAAUACUUUGUUUAUCUAUGAAAGAAACUAAAAUACCGCCAAAAAAGCCAUGAAGUGGAAAGAGAGGUGCAAUUUCCAACGGAGGCAAAAAAAACACUAGGUGAUUUUUUCUCAUCUACCUAAGCUUUGGUGGGCAGAGUUACCCGACACCUGUAUUGGUGAGAGGUAGUAGGAACCUGGUGGUAUAGUCAAGGUGCGCACAAACUGGACACCAUCGUCAUUUAAAAAAAAAAAAAAAGAUACCGUGCAUAGCAAUUUCUUAACUUAUUUUUUUGAUAAGACUAUACUGAAGUGACUUUGGGAAUAUAUAUUUUUUAUCAUGGUGUCCGGGCCAACUUGCCAACUUUGGGAAUAUUUAAAGAGGUAGCAACAAAAGUUUACUGAUAGUUCGAUUGGAGAAAUUUUGCUUUUCUCACACAGAUUUGGACGGUCAAGAAGACUAAUUCUGUUUGGGAUUGUGAAAGCUGGACUUUCCAUGAAGGUUCAUUGCCUAAAUUCAGGUCUCUUACGCUAUACUGUGAGAAAAAUUCAAGUGUAUAAGCAUCCAUGGUACGUCGGUGGAGACGUGUUUGAUUUGAUUGGUAUGAAUAUUGAGUGGCUGGAGCUCUUCAUUGCUGGUGAAAACUGGAAACUGAGAAUCUUCAUCUUGAACUAUGAUUGUAACGGCAGAUAAUUUUAAGGAAUGACAUACACCGGUUUUUGUUAUUUACUGGAGAUCUUUCAUACUUAAAUUUUAUUUAUUUAUGUUGUAUAUUAUUAGUGAUGUGGAUUUUAUAUUGAAAAUUCAACAUUAUACUUAGUUAUACUUAUGCAAUAUAGACUUUUAUAUAUGGA
This is an RNA transcript of Lycium ferocissimum, 3342 nucleotides long. It is a transcript of the gene named DEAD-box ATP-dependent RNA helicase 1, with no coding region annotated. The record is from RefSeq and is a predicted model, not a curated record. Lineage: Eukaryota; Viridiplantae; Streptophyta; Magnoliopsida; Solanales; Solanaceae. The transcript is spliced from 11 exons.